Long non-coding RNA from Bombina bombina (fire-bellied toad), 174 nucleotides. RefSeq lists it as uncharacterized. NCBI's taxonomy places the organism in Eukaryota, Metazoa, Chordata, Amphibia, Anura, Bombinatoridae. The record is from RefSeq and is a predicted model, not a curated record. The transcript has 3 exons.
UCUCCUGCUUCUGGCCGUCAUCUUCAGCAACUUCUUCUGCAUCAGCUACCAGCAGUUCCUGAAACAGAAAAGAUAUCCCAGAUAUCCUUACUUGGGGGGGGUCUUUGCCCCUUUACCAUGGCAGUCUAUUCCUGGUUAUCCUCUGGUCCGAGGUUUAUUGAAAGAAAAGAUGUC